GAUGAACGCUGGCGGCGUGCCUAAUACAUGCAAGUCGAGCGAACAGACGAGGAGCUUGCUCCUCUGGCGUUAGCGGCGGACGGGUGAGUAACACGUGGAUAACCUACCUAUAAGACUGGGAUAACUUCGGGAAACCGGAGCUAAUACCGGAUAAUAUAUUGAACCGCAUGGUUCAAUAGUGAAAGACGGUUUUGCUGUCACUUAUAGAUGGAUCCGCGCCGCAUUAGCUAGUUGGUAAGGUAACGGCUUACCAAGGCAACGAUGCGUAGCCGACAUGAGAGGGUGAUCGGCCACACUGGAACUGAGACACGGUCCAGACUCCUACGGGAGGCAGCAGUAGGGAAUCUUCCGCAAUGGGCGAAAGCCUGACGGAGCAACGCCGCGUGAGUGAUGAAGGUCUUCGGAUCGUAAAACUCUGUUAUUAGGGAAGAACAAAUGUGUAAGUAACUAUGCACGUCUUGACGGUACCUAAUCAGAAAGCCACGGCUAACUACGUG
RNAcentral lists this ribosomal RNA (497 nucleotides) under uncultured bacterium. RNAcentral's name for it is "partial 16S ribosomal RNA". It matches the Rfam family "Bacterial small subunit ribosomal RNA", at positions 28 to 507 of the family's 1533-position model. The record is from RNAcentral.